AUAAUGGGUCAGCGACUUAUAUUCUGUAGCAAGGUUAACCGAAUAGGGGAGCCGAAGGGAAACCGAGUCUUAACUGGGCGUUAAGUUGCAGGGUAUAGACCCGAAACCCGGUGAUCUAGCCAUGGGCAGGUUGAAGGUUGGGUAACACUAACUGGAGGACCGAACCGACUAAUGUUGAAAAAUUAGCGGAUGACUUGUGGCUGGGGGUGAAAGGCCAAUCAAACCGGGAGAUAGCUGGUUCUCCCCGAAAGCUAUUUAGGUAGCGCCUCGUGAAUUCAUCUCCGGGGGUAGAGCACUGUUUCGGCAAGGGGGUCAUCCCGACUUACCAACCCGAUGCAAACUGCGAAUACCGGAGAAUGUUAUCACGGGAGACACACGGCGGGUGCUAACGUCCGUCGUGAAGAGGGAAACAACCCAGACCGCCAGCUAAGGUCCCAAAGUCAUGGUUAAGUGGGAAACGAUGUGGGAAGGCCCAGACAGCCAGGAUGUUGGCUUAGAAGCAGCCAUCAUUUAAAGAAAGCGUAAUAGCUCACUGGUCGAGUCGGCCUGCGCGGAAGAUGUAACGGGGCUAAACCAUGCACCGAAGCUGCGGCAGCGACGCUUAUGCGUUGUUGGGUAGGGGAGCGUUCUGUAAGCCUGUGAAGGUGUACUGUGAGGUAUGCUGGAGGUAUCAGAAGUGCGAAUGCUGACAUAAGUAACGAUAAAGCGGGUGAAAAGCCCGCUCGCCGGAAGACCAAGGGUUCCUGUCCAACGUUAAUCGGGGCAGGGUGAGUCGACCCCUAAGGCGAGGCCGAAAGGCGUAGUCGAUGGGAAACAGGUUAAUAUUCCUGUACUUGGUGUUACUGCGAAGGGGGGACGGAGAAGGCUAUGUUGGCCGGGCGACGGUUGUCCCGGUUUAAGCGUGUAGGCUGGUUUUCCAGGCAAAUCCGGAAAAUCAAGGCUGAGGCGUGAUGACGAGGCACUACGGUGCUGAAGCAACAAAUGCCCUGCUUCCAGGAAAAGCCUCUAAGCAUCAGGUAACAUCAAAUCGUACCCCAAACCGACACAGGUGGUCAGGUAGAGAAUACCAAGGCGCUUGAGAGAACUCGGGUGAAGGAACUAGGCAAAAUGGUGCCGUAACUUCGGGAGAAGGCACGCUGAUAUGUAGGUGAAGUCCCUCGCGGAUGGAGCUGAAAUCAGUCGAAGAUACCAGCUGGCUGCAACUGUUUAUUAAAAACACAGCACUGUGCAAACACGAAAGUGGACGUAUACGGUGUGACGCCUGCCCGGUGCCGGAAGGUUAAUUGAUGGGGUCAGCGCAAGCGAAGCUCUUGAUCGAAGCCCCGGUAAACGGCGGCCGUAACUAUAACGGUCCUAAGGUAGCGAAAUUCCUUGUCGGGUAAGUUCCGACCUGCACGAAUGGCGUAAUGAUGGCCAGGCUGUCUCCACCCGAGACUCAGUGAAAUUGAACUCGCUGUGAAGAUGCAGUGUACCCGCGGCAAGACGGAAAGACCCCGUGAACCUUUACUAUAGCUUGACACUGAACAUUGAGCCUUGAUGUGUAGGAUAGGUGGGAGGCUUUGAAGUGUGGACGCCAGUCUGCAUGGAGCCGACCUUGAAAUACCACCCUUUAAUGUUUGAUGUUCUAACGUGGACCCGUAAUCCGGGUUGCGGACAGUGUCUGGUGGGUAGUUUGACUGGGGCGGUCUCCUCCUAAAGAGUAACGGAGGAGCACGAAGGUUGGCUAAUCCUGGUCGGACAUCAGGAGGUUAGUGCAAUGGCAUAAGCCAGCUUGACUGCGAGCGUGACGGCGCGAGCAGGUGCGAAAGCAGGUCAUAGUGAUCCGGUGGUUCUGAAUGGAAGGGCCAUCGCUCAACGGAUAAAAGGUACUCCGGGGAUAACAGGCUGAUACCGCCCAAGAGUUCAUAUCGACGGCGGUGUUUGGCACCUCGAUGUCGGCUCAUCACAUCCUGGGGCUGAAGUAGGUCCCAAGGGUAUGGCUGUUCGCCAUUUAAAGUGGUACGCGAGCUGGGUUUAGAACGUCGUGAGACAGUUCGGUCCCUAUCUGCCGUGGGCGCUGGAGAACUGAGGGGGGCUGCUCCUAGUACGAGAGGACCGGAGUGGACGCAUCACUGGUGUUCGGGUUGUCAUGCCAAUGGCACUGCCCGGUAGCUAAAUGCGGAAGAGAUAAGUGCUGAAAGCAUCUAAGCACGAAACUUGCCCCGAGAUGAGUUCUCCCUGACUCCUUGAGAGUCCUGAAGGAACGUUGAAGACGACGACGUUGAUAGGCCGGGUGUGUAAGCGCAGCGAUGCGUUGAGCUAACCGGUACUAAUGAACCGUGAGG
This 2324-nucleotide ribosomal RNA is filed under the name Escherichia coli. RNAcentral describes it as "partial 23S ribosomal RNA". It matches the Rfam family "Bacterial large subunit ribosomal RNA", at positions 612 to 2915 of the family's 2925-position model. Lineage: Bacteria; Pseudomonadati; Pseudomonadota; Gammaproteobacteria; Enterobacterales; Enterobacteriaceae. The record is from RNAcentral.